AUACAUGCAAGUCGAACGAGUUCUCGUUGAUGAUCGGUGCUUGCACCGAGAUUCAACAUGGAACGAGUGGCGGACGGGUGAGUAACACGUGGGUAACCUGCCCUUAAGUGGGGGAUAACAUUUGGAAACAGAUGCUAAUACCGCAUAGAUCCAAGAACCGCAUGGUUCUUGGCUGAAAGAUGGCGUAAGCUAUCGCUUUUGGAUGGACCCGCGGCGUAUUAGCUAGUUGGUGAGGUAAUGGCUCACCAAGGCGAUGAUACGUAGCCGAACUGAGAGGUUGAUCGGCCACAUUGGGACUGAGACACGGCCCAAACUCCUACGGGAGGCAGCAGUAGGGAAUCUUCCACAAUGGACGCAAGUCUGAUGGAGCAACGCCGCGUGAGUGAAGAAGGCUUUCGGGUCGUAAAACUCUGUUGUUGGAGAAGAAUGGUCGGCAGAGUAACUGUUGUCGGCGUGACGGUAUCCAACCAGAAAGCCACGGCUAACUACGUGCCAGCAGCCGCGGUAAUACGUAGGUGGCAAGCGUUAUCCGGAUUUAUUGGGCGUAAAGCGAGCGCAGGCGGUUUUUUAAGUCUGAUGUGAAAGCCCUCGGCUUAACCGAGGAAGCGCAUCGGAAACUGGGAAACUUGAGUGCAGAAGAGGACAGUGGAACUCCAUGUGUAGCGGUGAAAUGCGUAGAUAUAUGGAAGAACACCAGUGGCGAAGGCGGCUGUCUGGUCUGUAACUGACGCUGAGGCU
RNAcentral lists this ribosomal RNA (738 nucleotides) under Lactobacillus casei group sp. RNAcentral's name for it is "bacterial SSU rRNA". It matches the Rfam family "Bacterial small subunit ribosomal RNA", at positions 51 to 753 of the family's 1533-position model. Lineage: Bacteria; Bacillati; Bacillota; Bacilli; Lactobacillales; Lactobacillaceae. The record is from RNAcentral.